Molecule: ribosomal RNA, 253 nt
Filed under: uncultured bacterium
Lineage: Bacteria
Description: partial 16S ribosomal RNA
Rfam family: Bacterial small subunit ribosomal RNA
Source: RNAcentral
UACGAAGGUCCCAAGCGUUAUCCGGAUUUAUUGGGUUUAAAGGGUGCGUAGGCGGCUUAUUAAGUCAGUGGUGAAAGCCCCAAGCUUAACUUGGGAGCUGCCAUUGAUACUGAUGAGCUUGAGUAGAUUUGAGGCGGGCGGAAUGUGUCGUGUAGCGGUGAAAUGCUUAGAUAUGACACAGAACACCAAUUGCGUAGGCAGCUCGCUAAACUCUUACUGACGCUGAGGCACGAAAGCAUGGGGAUCAAACAGG